RNAcentral lists this ribosomal RNA (506 nucleotides) under uncultured bacterium. Its description in RNAcentral is "partial 16S ribosomal RNA". It matches the Rfam family "Bacterial small subunit ribosomal RNA", at positions 29 to 523 of the family's 1533-position model. The record is from RNAcentral.
AGUGAACGCUGGCGGUAGGCCUAACACAUGCAAGUCGAACGGCAGCACAGGAGAGCUUGCUCUCUGGGUGGCGAGUGGCGGACGGGUGAGGAAUACAUCGGAGUCUACUCUGUCGUGGGGGAUAACGUAGGGAAACUUACGCUAAUACCGCAUACGACCUACGGGUGAAAGCAGGGGACCUUCGGGCCUUGCGCGAUUGAAUGAGCCGAUGUCGGAUUAGCUAGUUGGCGGGGUAAAGGCCCACCAAGGCGACGAUCCGUAGCUGGUCUGAGAGGAUGAUCGGCCACACUGGAACUGAGACACGGUCCAGACUCCUACGGGAGGCAGCAGUGGGGAAUAUUGGACAAUGGGCGCAAGCCUGAUCCAGCCAUACCGCGUGGGUGAAGAAGGCCUUCGGGUUGUAAAGCCCUUUUGUUGGGAAAGAAAUCCAGCUGGCUAAUACCCGGUUGGGAUGACGGUACCCAAACAAUAAGCACCGGCUAACUUCGUGCCAGCAGCCGCAGUAA